AGUCGAACGGCAGCGCGGGACAACCUGGCGGCGAGUGGCGAACGGGUGAGUAAUAUAUCGGAACGUACCCUGGAGUGGGGGAUAACGUAGCGAAAGUUACGCUAAUACCGCAUACGAUCUAAGGAUGAAAGUGGGGGAUUCGCAAGAACCUCAUGCUCCUGGAGCGGCCGAUAUCUGAUUAGCUAGUUGGUGGGGUAAAGGCCCACCAAGGCUUCGAUCAGUAGCUGGUCUGAGAGGACGACCAGCCACACUGGAACUGAGACACGGUCCAGACUCCUACGGGAGGCAGCAGUGGGGAAUUUUGGACAAUGGGCGCAAGCCUGAUCCAGCAAUGCCGCGUGAGUGAAGAAGGCCUUCGGGUUGUAAAGCUCUUUUGUCAGGGAAGAAACGGUGCGGGCUAAUAUCCUGUGCUAAUGACGGUACCUGAAGAAUAAGCACCGGCUAACUACGUGCCAGCAGCCGCGGUAAUACGUAGGGUGCAAGCGUUAAUCGGAAUUACUGGGCGUAAAGCGUGCGCAGGCGGUUUUGUAAGUUUGUCGUGAAAGCCCUGGGCUCAACCUGGGAAUUGCGAUGAAGACUGCAAGGCUUGAAUCUGGCAGAGGGGGGUAGAAUUCCACGUGUAGCAGUGAAAUGCGUAGAGAUGUGGAGGAACACCGAUGGCGAAGGCAGCCCCCUGGGUCAAGAUUGACGCUCAUGCACGAAAGCGUGGGGAGCAAACAGGAUUAGAUACCCUGGUAGUCCACGCCCUAAACGAUGUCUACUAGUUGUCGGGUUUUAAUUAACUUGGUAACGCAGCUAACGCGUGAAGUAGACCGCCUGGGGAGUACGGUCGCAAGAUUAAAACUCAAAGGAAUUGAC
This 858-nucleotide ribosomal RNA is filed under the name uncultured bacterium. Its description in RNAcentral is "bacterial SSU rRNA". It matches the Rfam family "Bacterial small subunit ribosomal RNA", at positions 60 to 914 of the family's 1533-position model. The record is from RNAcentral.